This 207-nucleotide ribosomal RNA is filed under the name uncultured bacterium. Its description in RNAcentral is "partial 16S ribosomal RNA". It matches the Rfam family "Bacterial small subunit ribosomal RNA", at positions 568 to 774 of the family's 1533-position model. The record is from RNAcentral.
CACGUAGGCGGACUUUUAAGUCAGGGUGAAAUCCCGGGGCUCAACCUCGGAACUGCCUUUGAUACUGGAAGUCUGGAGUCCGAGAGAGGUGAGUGGAACUCCGAGUGUAGAGGUGAAAUUCGUAGAUAUUCGGAAGAACACCAGUGGCGAAGGCGGCUCACUGGCUCGGUACUGACGCUGAGGUGCGAAAGCGUGGGGAAGCAAACA